CCGGUGCGCAGCUAUAAUGCAGUCGACGAACUUCCGUUAAUUGAUUAUGACGUACUUGUACUGAUUGAGAUUUUAACACGAAGUGAGUGGCGAACGGGUGAGUAACACGUGGGUAACCUGCCCAGAAGUAGGGGAUAACACCUGGAAACAGAUGCUAAUACCGUAUAACAGAGAAAACCGCAUGGUUUUCUUUUAAAAGAUGGCUCUGCUAUCACUUCUGGAUGGACCCGCGGCGUAUUAGCUAGUUGGUGAGGUAAAGGCUCACCAAGGCAGUGAUACGUAGCCGACCUGAGAGGGUAAUCGGCCACAUUGGGACUGAGACACGGCCCAGACUCCUACGGGAGGCAGCAGUAGGGAAUCUUCCACAAUGGACGCAAGUCUGAUGGAGCAACGCCGCGUGAGUGAAGAAGGGUUUCGGCUCGUAAAGCUCUGUUGUUAAAGAAGAACGUGGGUAAGAGUAACUGUUUACCCAGUGACGGUAUUUAACCAGAAAGCCACGGCUAACUACGUGCCAGCAGCCGCGGUAAUACGUAGGUGGCAAGCGUUAUCCGGAUUUAUUGGGCGUAAAGCGAGCGCAGGCGGUCUUUUAAGUCUAAUGUGAAAGCCUUCGGCUCAACCGAAGAAGUGCAUUGGAAACUGGGAGACUUGAGUGCAGAAGAGGACAGUGGAACUCCAUGUGUAGCGGUGAAAUGCGUAGAUAUAUGGAAGAACACCAGUGGCGAAGGCGGCUGUCUGGUCUGCAACUGACGCUGAGGCUCGAAAGCAUGGGUAGCGAACAGGAUUAGAUAU
This 789-nucleotide ribosomal RNA is filed under the name Pediococcus sp. RNAcentral describes it as "bacterial SSU rRNA". It matches the Rfam family "Bacterial small subunit ribosomal RNA", at positions 39 to 785 of the family's 1533-position model. The record is from RNAcentral. Lineage: Bacteria; Bacillati; Bacillota; Bacilli; Lactobacillales; Lactobacillaceae.